CCUGGCAUAUCUAAGUAUAAGAGCUGGGUUCUUACCUCAGUAAUGUGUUGCUACACUGCGAGGG
Molecule: transfer RNA, 64 nt
Filed under: Echeneibothrium multiloculatum
Lineage: Eukaryota; Metazoa; Platyhelminthes; Cestoda; Rhinebothriidea; Echeneibothriidae
Description: tRNA-Lys
Source: RNAcentral